AGUGAACGCUGGCGGUAGGCCUAACACAUGCAAGUCGAACGGCAGCACAGUAAGAGCUUGCUCUUACGGGUGGCGAGUGGCGGACGGGUGAGGAAUACAUCGGAAUCUACUUUUUCGUGGGGGAUAACGUAGGGAAACUUACGCUAAUACCGCAUACGACCUACGGGUGAAAGCAGGGGAUCUUCGGACCUUGCGCGAUUGAAUGAGCCGAUGUCGGAUUAGCUAGUUGGCGGGGUAAAGGCCCACCAAGGCGACGAUCCGUAGCUGGUCUGAGAGGAUGAUCAGCCGCACUAGAACUGAGACACGGUCCAGACUCCUACGGGGGGCAGCAGUGGGGAAUAUUGGACAAUAGGCGCAAGCCUGAUCCAGCCGUACCGCGUGGGUGAAGAAGGCCUUCGGGUUGUAAAGCCCUUUUGUUGGGAAAGAAAAGCAGCAGGUUAAUACCCCGCUGUUCUGACGGUACCCAAAGAAUAAGCACCGGCUAACUUCGUG
This 492-nucleotide ribosomal RNA is filed under the name uncultured bacterium. Its description in RNAcentral is "partial 16S ribosomal RNA". It matches the Rfam family "Bacterial small subunit ribosomal RNA", at positions 29 to 507 of the family's 1533-position model. The record is from RNAcentral.